Molecule: unclassified non-coding RNA, 364 nt
Filed under: uncultured bacterium
Lineage: Bacteria
Description: contains 16S-23S intergenic spacer region
Source: RNAcentral
UCCGGCUUAACGCCGGCAGUCUCCGGUGAGAAAUAUAACACCGGAUGAGGGUUUCGCUCGUUUACGGACUUAACCGUACAUCUCACGACACGAGCUGACGGCGACCGUGCAACACCUGUCUUAGGGUUCCUUACGGCACUCCCCUGUUUCCAGGGGAUUCCCUAGAUGUCAAACCUGGGUGAGGUGCCCCGCUUGUCGUCGAAUUAAACCACAUGCUCCACCGCUUGUGCGAGCCCCCGUCAAUUCCUUUGAGUUUUAGUCUUGCGACCGUACUUCCCAGGCGGCAGACUUAACGCGUUAGCUUCGGCACAAGGAGGGUCGAUACUCCCAAUGCCUAGUCUGCAUCGUUUACGGCGUGGACUAC